UGUCUCCUGGUAGCGCCUCCAGCCUCUGGACACUAUGCUGACAGACACAACAAACCUUCUUGCCACAGCUCACGUUGACGUGCCGUCCUGGAUGACCUGAGCCACUUGUGUGGGUUGUAGAGUCCGUCUCAUGCUACCACGAGUGUGAAAGCACCACCAACAUUCAAAACUGACCAAAACAUCAGCCAGACAGCAUAGGUACUGAGAAGUGGUCUGUGGUCCCCACCUGCAGAACCACUCCUUUAUUGAGUGUGUCUUGCUAAUUGCCAAUAAUUUCCACCUGUUGUCUAUUCCAUUUGCACAACAGCAGGUGAAAUUGAUUGUUAAUCACUGUUGCUGCCUAAGUGGACAGUUUGAUUUCACAGAAGUUUGAUUUACUUGGAGUUAUAUUGUGUUGUUUAAGUGUUCCCUUUAUUUUUUUGAGCAGUGUAUUUAGUAACCCUGAA
Long non-coding RNA from Poecilia latipinna (sailfin molly), 446 nucleotides. RefSeq lists it as uncharacterized. The transcript has 2 exons. Lineage: Eukaryota; Metazoa; Chordata; Actinopteri; Cyprinodontiformes; Poeciliidae. The record is from RefSeq and is a predicted model, not a curated record.